Molecule: ribosomal RNA, 444 nt
Filed under: uncultured Alphaproteobacteria bacterium
Lineage: Bacteria; Pseudomonadati; Pseudomonadota; Alphaproteobacteria
Description: bacterial SSU rRNA
Rfam family: Bacterial small subunit ribosomal RNA
Source: RNAcentral
AACGAACGCUGGCGGCACGCUUAACACAUGCAAGUCGAACGAAGCGAUACACUUCGGUGUAUUGACUGAGUGGCGGACGGGUGAGUAAUGCAUAGGAAUCUGCCUCAUAGUCUGGGAUAACCGCUGGAAACAGUGACUAAUACCGGAUGCACCCUUCUGGGUAAAGAUUUAUCGCUAUGAGAUGAGCCUAUGUCGGAUUAGGUAGUUGGUAGGGUAAAGGCCUACCAAGCCGAUGAUCCGUAGCUGGUUUGAGAGGAUGAUCAGCCACACUGGGACUGAGACACGGCCCAGACUCCUACGGGAGGCAGCAGUGGGGAAUCUUGGACAAUGGGGGCAACCCUGAUCCAGCGAUGCCGCGUGAGUGAUGAAGGCCUUAGGGUUGUAAAGCUCUUUUACCCGUGAAGAUAAUGACGGUAGCGGGAGAAAAAGCUCCGGCUAACUCCG